CCUGUACCUUGGUCCACACCACACUGAGGUAGGAGGCACAACUGGGAAGUGAGGAAAGACAGCACAAAGGGACAGACAACAAAGGGGGGAGAGAGACCACCAAGGGAAAGAUGGGGGGAGGGGAGGAGAGAUCAAGAGCAGGGAGAACUCUAAGGGACCGGCGGGAGGGAGAGACCUAAGGGUCAGGGGAGAGUAUUAAGGGAGGGGACAGGGGAGAGUAUUAAGGGAGGGGGCAGGGGAGAGCACUAAGGGAAAGAAGGGGGAGUGGAAGAGGAGCCAACUAAGGGAAAGAUGGGGGAGAACGCUAAGGGACAGGGAGAGCACAAUCGGAAGGGGGGGGCAGGGGAGAGCACUAAGGGACAGGAGGGGGGGGGAUCACUAAUGGACAGGCGGGGAGGGGACAACACACUACACACAUACACAGAAACACACAAUGCAUGCCUACUCACACAAACACACCAUGCAUCCAUUACACACACAUACACAGAAGCACACACCGCUUCUCUCAAUGCAUAUCUUACAAACACUAAAUGCACCCAUUCCAGACACACACUUCAUU
Molecule: non-coding RNA, 559 nt
Organism: Pelobates cultripes (western spadefoot toad)
Lineage: Eukaryota; Metazoa; Chordata; Amphibia; Anura; Pelobatidae
Source: the annotation of a GenBank genome assembly